Rattus norvegicus (Norway rat) is the source of this 1953-nucleotide non-coding RNA. Lineage: Eukaryota; Metazoa; Chordata; Mammalia; Rodentia; Muridae. The record is from RefSeq and is a predicted model, not a curated record.
AAUUAUUCUGUUGCGCAGUUUACACUCUAAAACUUACUAGCUUGGGCCAUCCAUAGGUAAAACAGUUGCUACAGAAGCCUGAUAUCUAUAACCUGUAUAGUUUUGGAGCCCUGAUCAACACCUCAGAGAAGGUAGCCUACGAUUUACAUUGGGAUUUUUAUUUGGCAACACAAGGCUUCUGGGAUGAGUUUAAUCUCCUGUUUAGGGUAACUCCAAUUAAACUCAUAUUUAUCUAUACAUUAUUAGAAAGCUUAUAAAAUACUAGGUUUCACAUGGCCUUUUCAAGCACCCUUAGAUUUUACCCUGCCAUUACCCUCUCUUUCUGCCCUCCCUUCCCAUCCUUGUCUCUACUUAAACCCACUUCCCAACAUUCCCCACUUUCUUUACAAGCUGCGGGUCUAUUCAGUCCUGUUUGAAAUCUAAGUUCCGUGGUAGCCGGGGCAUUGUUUCGUCCACCAGGACAGCAUAAAGCACAUGGUGAAGAUGUCAUUCUAGCUCUCCAUGAAUACAUGAAUAAAAUAUCUAAGCUCUAGGGGUUCUGGGGGCAAGCCUGCUGAAAAAUACCUUGUUCUAGGGACAGCAUGCCUAAGCAGUCUGGGUGACAGUUGGCUGUUUGUUACGUCUUCAUUUUUUAAAAACCAGAUCGCUGCAGUCAGUUGGGAGUUGUUGGGCAGCCCUGUAAGGGUAAUGUGAGAGAUAAGGCAUCUGAUGUGUUCUCUAAGAGGACAGUUGGAAGCUGUGGUCGAUUCCUGAGCCACGGCAGAAAUUACAGGUGAACCAGUCAUAAGAUAUUGAAUAGGGUUGGUUCUCCUCUCGGGAGUGAGCCUCUCAGCCCUGGGGUUGGCAGGAAUGAGCAGUGUAAGUGUUGUGUUUUAUAAAAAACUAAAAGGAUUAUGAAAAGGAUUAUGUUUGGUGGAUGUUCAGUCAGGUGUGGGGAAGGGAGUUGAAGCCUACACAGGCCCAUGCUGACGCAUUUCCUUCCCUCUGAGGGACCAAAUAGACAUCGGUGAUGGUAUAGUAUAGAAUAGGGUUUAUUCAGAGCAUGGAAAGGGGAAUUGAGAGGGUAGUAGACACAGAGAAAGGCAGAGGAAGAGAAAGAAAGAGUAGAGGAGUAGAGGCCGGCCAUGAGCACAUGGCGGGGGAGGGGGAGGGGGAGAAAGGUGAAGGGACAAGAGGACAGAGGGAAAGCAAGAAGGCAAGAGAGCAAAAGGGCAAGCAACCCCUUUUAUAGUGAGUCAGGCGCAUCUGGCUGUUGCCAGGUAACUGUGGGGCGGAGCUUAGACAGAAUGCUAACACUGAGGACAGUGCUGUCCAGUUCAGUGACUAAACAGGCCUUCUUUAUGACUUAAGAAAGCAGGAAACAAUUGACAUAUAAAACCCCAAGAGAAUCCACUCAAUGGUAUCCCUAAAGUUUUCUGAGAGAAGCUUACUCCCAUUCCGUGAAUAUAAAAUGCCGGUCUGCUUUUUCUUAGGUUUUCUUACGUGGACCAUGGCAGCCUCCAGCAGUCUUUCCUGUGACCCUGGUAUUUAGAGUCCUUUGUGCAGUAAACUCCCCCUUUGGGCAGACUUUUGCCUUAUAUUAAUACAAGGAGAAGAGACCAUACAGAAACCUUCCUUGUUGGAGGACACACCCGGAAAUACCUUGUCAGCAGGCGCUGCCUGCAGCCAGAGCAGGGCCACCUACAAGUUAUCUUGACCCAGGAUGCCUGCAACCCCUUCCCCUCACCUAGGCAGGUCUCAGGAGUGCUACUGCACAGGGCUGAGGUCUGCCAGAGGUAUCAGGGAUUAACCCGAAGCAGAGAAUUUGAUCGUGAGAUUCAGGCAUUUCAGGAGAAAAAUAUGGGAAAUUUGUAAUUCCAUUCAGGAAAACUCAAAGGAUGGCACCUCGUCCCGGGCUGGUCACACAACUUCCCUUACUUUGUUUUGAAUUAAAGAUGUUUGGGAUUUUGACUA